Molecule: unclassified non-coding RNA, 1112 nt
Filed under: Hevea brasiliensis (rubber tree)
Lineage: Eukaryota; Viridiplantae; Streptophyta; Magnoliopsida; Malpighiales; Euphorbiaceae
Source: RNAcentral
GGCAGAUGGAAGGUUCCUUUUCUGUUGUUGAGAAUAAAUUCUAUUUCUUUAGAACAGCAUAAAACCUUGAGUACAAAAGAGUCUUAAUUAGAUGCAGUAGUAAAGUUAGAACUCCACUUCCACAUCUUCCUUUUUUUCUAAAUCUUUAAUCUUUUGCAACUUUAACUUUACAAGAAGAUCAUUAGGAUCCUAGCUAGACCAAUCCCACCCCUAUCAAGAUCUCAAUCCGUAAUUUCAAAGAAGAAGAAGAAUUAAAACUAAAACUAAAACAAAUUAAUUUGCCCAAUUGCAUAAUUAUUACAUAUUUAUGUAUAUAUGUAAUUAUCUUACCAAAUGAAUGUGCAAGUUAAUUAAUUCAGUGGGUGUCAUCGUCUUCUCUUCUAGCUUUCUUCAUCUUCUGAUACAAAUCUGCAAGAAUAGGCCUAGGAAAUAGAGACUCCACUUCUCGAGAUAGAUCAAGUUGUAGACUUCUUCGUACAUUUGAUGGUGAUGCUUUUCUUUUAGCAGGUAGUACAGGCCUGGGUUUUCUUGGUGCAGGCGGGCAUUGUUUGGUCACUGAGAUUUUGUGAUCCAAACUUGUUGGAGUUUUGAAUCCAUUAUUAUCGUCAUCAUCAUCAUCCGUUGCCUUCACUUCUCCUAAAGAUAUCAGCCUUGAAAAAUCUCCAGUCUUGCGUUCUUCUCCAUCUUCUUCUCUCUCAUUAUUUCCAUCUUUGUCAUCUUCUCCUUCUUGUUGAUUGCGCCAUUGAAGAGGAAUAAUCCCAUUUUCAUUAGAACUUUCUGAUAAGACAGUAAAUUCUAAAGUGGAUCUCUGCAAGAGCUUGAAUUCGAUAUCUUCUUUAUUUUCUUUGACUAGAUGCAACUCUGAAUUCGACGACAUAGCUGUUAGGAAGGAAAAUUUAUCAAAAUCUGAGCACAUGAAUCAAUGGUAACUAUCUGAACUUAAAGAAGAGGAACAAAGAAAAAAAAAUACACAGAGAUCGAUUGUGAUGAGGAAGCUAAUCAGAGGAAGGAAGGACAAGAUGGGUUCUUGUUACAAAGAUCCUACAUGGGCUAGAAUUAUUUUUUCAGAGAUUCUUGAUGAGAUUUGCAGUUUUUUUUCUGCACUCACGGUG